Non-coding RNA from Paramuricea clavata, 93 nucleotides. Lineage: Eukaryota; Metazoa; Cnidaria; Anthozoa; Malacalcyonacea; Plexauridae. The record is from the annotation of a GenBank genome assembly.
GAAAAUAAUCACAAAUUAGCGAAAUAUAUUGCGAUUUAAUAUAAGCUACAUUUCGCAAUAUAUUUCGCUAAUUUGUGAUUAUUUUCGUUAAAU